CAAUAAGUGUUCAAUGGCACUUUAAAAUCCAUUACCCACCUUAUGUGCACUGUAAGGAGGAGGCAGGACUUUCUGCCUCUUUCAUUAUACAUACCCACAACCUUUUAUCUUGUCUAUUUUUUUGAGUAUAAAAACUCGAAUA
RNAcentral lists this unclassified non-coding RNA (142 nucleotides) under uncultured fungus. Its description in RNAcentral is "sequence contains ITS1". Lineage: Eukaryota; Fungi. The record is from RNAcentral.